Molecule: transfer RNA, 69 nt
Filed under: Ophiocreas oedipus
Lineage: Eukaryota; Metazoa; Echinodermata; Ophiuroidea; Euryalida; Asteroschematidae
Also listed under: 1 other name
Description: tRNA-Thr
Source: RNAcentral
GCUUUAAAAGGCUAUCAGCUAUCUAUUUUGUAAGUAGGGGGAGAUCGAGCUAAGAUUCGGUUUAAGGCU